CGCUUUGGCUGAAUUAGUGAUCGGCUAAGGCAUCGUUACACCGUAAAUUUAUGGAGUUUACUAUGUCACUAAGCAAUAAAGAAAAAGCAGAAAUCGUAGCAAAAUUUGCACGUGCAGAA
Pseudoalteromonas luteoviolacea B = ATCC 29581 is the source of this 119-nucleotide non-coding RNA. The record is from Rfam. Lineage: Bacteria; Pseudomonadati; Pseudomonadota; Gammaproteobacteria; Alteromonadales; Pseudoalteromonadaceae.